UGGGCUGUACUGUCAGGCCCAAGAUGGCGAAAUAUUUAGGGCUCAAAAGUUCUUACUUUCUACUAGCCCAAACAUGGAACAACGAGGGCCCAUUUUUUUCCUAUCCAUAACGGCGGCGUCUCGGCGAGACGGCGACGGGCGAAGCUGCGAGGCGGAGGGGGCGGGGUCAGGGGCUCAACGAGUCAACGGCGAGUGAAUAGCGAGAGUCCGGGGCCUGCUGAUCCGACGUCGUCGGCGGUCGGCGGAGGAAGCGCGGAGGAGGCGAACCCGCAGCGGUCAGGCCGGUAUGGCUAAUCACAGGCCAUCAAUAGUGAGUGCUAUUCUUCUGAACUUUUCCUUUUUGAAUUACCCUUCUGAAGUUCUGAGUUCUGAAAUAUGAACUUGAGCGUCUGAAACUGAAACCACCUUUAUUGCCGUUUGUUGCGGGUUUGCUACUUACUCUGCAGUGAAGUUAUGAUAUAUUGAGCCAUGAUGUGUGCGUCCUGUAAAAGAUUACUGCCCCUUUUGUUUCUCUCAUUCGGCAAGGAGCGAGAUAACUGAAAAUUUGGUUAACUGGCACAAUUAUUCAUGAACAGAGAGAAGCUGUGAGUCAAAUUAUUGAGGUUAUUCUCAAUCCAUGUAAUAAAAGAAAAAUAGAUAAGUCUUAGUUCUGACUGCCAAGGCACAAAUAAAGGAGCAUUUCAGAUCCAUGAACUGCAAACCAAAUGGUGAGGCUAACCCUUCUGCUUUAUAAUAUGUAAUGUGACUAUAACUCAGUAUAUAUAGCAGUGGCCAACCCAUGUGCCCGUUACUGCCUGAAUCUAUACAACGUUGCACUCUCUAGUCUGAACCAUGGUUUGCUUCAUUCCUUUCAAAGCAUGCGUUUAAUUUCUAGAAUGCUAAUCGUUCACAUCUUGUCCUGAAGAUACCCGUGCAUUUUUAGUUUUCCAGAACCAGACAAAUCGGAGAUAUGACACUUGAACUCCUUUUACACUUUAACAACACAGAGAAAUUCUCCACUGAGCUAUGGCUUUAAGAUAGCUUUGUGGCCCGUGUAUUUAUAUAGAUAUGCUCCUAUGCUUCUAAAAUGAUGAGUCACAGUGGCUAAAGAUUUCCUUUUCCUCUGUUGAAACCUUGCUUUAUUUGGUACCAAUAGAAAGAUAAAAGCGGUGAUAUUUCCCAGUGGAGACUGGAGAGUAAUAUCUUAUUGUGACAUUACUUCUCUUUAUGACGGACGUUUUUGCCUAUUCAGGCUCUCUGCCUUACAGCUCAGGAACAUAAUUUGAUAACAUAAGCUGUAUCAAAAAGCAUGUGACAUACUACUUUUGAAAACUUUACUCUCUGUUUCUUCUUACAGUAAUCAAGACAAUCAAGAAAUGUAUGCUGGAGGAGGCUAAUUUAGACAAAACCAUUAUAAAAUGCCUGAGUGUAGCGUUAAUUUGAUCCAUUCCACUGCAAUUUUGCUGGUUUUGAAAUAUGCCGUUGUAAUGUAUGAUUGGAGCACUCUGCUGAGAGCAUGCUAUUUUCCAUGGCGUUUGCUUUUUGCCCACCAAGACUAGGGCAGACACUGAUGACACUGGGAUGACGGCAAAGGCAUCACCCUGUUUUAGUCAUAGCCCAAACCAACUACAUAAGUAAACAGAAUAAAUACUGGUGCAGCAAGCUGUGCUUGAAACACAACUUCAAAUGAAGAAAAAGAAAUGCCAAAAACCUUAAGAAUCUUACUCUGUCGUGUGGGGGCACCAUCUGGUUGAUCUGCAGUACCACUGUUCUCCUUCUGCUCCUCGUCCUCCACCAUCUCCUCUUCCCCAAAUAUAUGGAUUUCAUGCCUUGGACAGUUAGGAAGGAGAGCUGCUGCAUUUGUAAUGGUGGCCUUGGCAGCCUCCACCUCCCAAACCAUUGAACCCCGACAAUUAAUACUGACCCAGAGACAUUUGAGGGAGGAAAGGAGGCUAAUGCCAAAAUCAAAGUUGGCUCCAUAUGUGGAUAGUGUAUCAUGUACAACAAAUCUAAACCAAAGCCGGUUGAGCCUUGGCAUUGCACCUGCUUCAAAUAUCAGGCUCAUCAUUCCCUUCUUCUUUUUCAUGUACAUAGAAGGGCGGAAAUGGAAAUCCUCGAGACACUGGAAUCCAUUGGGGCUGAUAGUGAGCGAUUCCUGCGGGUAUUCUGUUGUGAAAAUUUGGAGACAGCGUAGAGCAGGCAAGUCUUUGAGCACAUCUACAUCUCCACCUCCCACUUCUUCUAUAAAAAUAACCAAGUUGGUGAGUACUGAGAGGUAGGAUAUCCACUUUGGGAGCCUAGUGAAAAUUGGGAUGUUGCUAGACAUCUGCACAUGACAUGGACGAGGGCACAAUGAAUCAAACAAGAAAUCCAUAGAACAACGUUCCGUAGUGUCAAUCCUUAGGGAGUGGAGGUUUCUUUCUCCUAGAUUACUGAAAGAUGAGAUCAAAGAUUUCUUAAAGCUUCCUUCAUCAUUAAUUGCAUUAUCACCACACCACUUAAUCCCAAGCACCUUCAGUUUGGUUAGGUUUCCUAACUGCUGCACAACUUCUGGUGAGUUUUUGCUUGCAUCCAGCAUCGAGAGCUCCUCUAGAGCUGUCAUGUCACCAAUCCCAUUUGGCAAUCCUACACCAUUAGGCACACAUAGGCGCACUAAUUGGUGUAGUUGAGCAAUAGUUGCUGGCAGUUCUUUUAUUCUUGUAGCUCUGAGAUCGAGUGUUUGCAAAUGUUGUAGCCUUCCAAUUUGGCUUGGGAUCUUACCAAUAUUACUAUUAUAGAGACUUAUAUACCUCAAGUGGCUCAAACUUCCAAUAUUCUCAAUGUCUCUGUCCUCUAGUGUAGGACAAUUUUGUAUAUCUAGGACUCGUAAAAUAUGAAAAUUCAAGAGAGAUGGUAUCUUCCCAACAUCACCAAAUACAGUAAAUGACCGAACUUGAGACAAACUGUUUGCCCCUAACCAGAGACUUUGUUCUGCACAGUUUCCCUGGAGUGAUAGACGCCGAAUUUUGUUAACCGAAGGUGUCAACUUAUGAUUAUCCAUUAUAGUGACAAAAUUUUCUUUAACUGAUAAUGAUAUAAUAAGAUCAAACAUUAUAUCAUGUACCCGGCAAGCUCUUGGCCUUCCACUGUAGUCAGUGCCUACUGGUUCGAUCAUGUUUCUAUUGAUGAGCUCACCAAAGUAGUUUUCUGCAGUAUCCUCUAAGCGUUGUCCUUGUUGUUCUGCAAUAAAUCCUUCAGCUAUCCAUUUCCUAAUUAAACACAACCGCCCGAUCACAUGAUCUUCUGGAAAUAUGCUUAGAUCCAAGAAACAUAUCUUCAAAUAGUGGGGUAGAUCAGAAUAGCUAAGAAACAAUAUUCUUUUAACAAGUUCCAGCUGAUGAUCUUGUUCAUUUGCAGAUCCAAGAGAAUUUCGCACCCUCUCCCACUCCCUUUUACAGAUUGGUUUAGUUGCUAAUAGGCUAGCAAUAUUAACUAUAGCUAGUGGCAAGCCAUGACAUUUUCUUAGUAUAUCAUCAGUAACUUCUUUCAGUUCAAGAGGGCAAUCAUCUUUGUGAUAGAAGAUCCUUUUCAAGAACAAGCUUUUUGAGUCAUCGCUAUCAAGGGGCAUCAUAGGGUAAAUGUAUUCUUUGUGUGGAAUGCUGCAGUAUUUAGCCACAUCUUCAAUUCGCGUAGUUGUGAUUAUUUUACUUGCAUUAUUGUUUUGGGGGAAAGCACAUUGUACUUCUUUCCAAGCUUGUUUGCUCCAUAGAUCAUCAAUUAUGACAAGGUACCUAUCAGGCAAUUUGUUGAAGAUGAAGCAUUGCAUUAAUCGCAAUCCAAAAUAACCACUAAAUAAAUAAAGGAAACUUGAUGUAAGGGUAGAUAAGGAACUAUGGACUCGAUAAAUUUGCAUAUUGCCAUACUUGCAUACAUGAGCAUCCUAUGAUAUAGACUUCAAAAAUCUACAUGUUACUGCUAAACUUUAAAAACAGAUCCAAACACCCAAACAUAUGCUGCCACUUAGCCAACAGGGAAUUCGCAAUAGUGUGCAUAUUAUUUGGAAGGUACUUUGUCGAGCAGUGCCAAAUCCAGUACUUGAAGUGUGUAUGCUGGUGUGCUUUAACCAUUUUUUCAGGGGCCAAGUCUUCAAGUCUGAAUGAUGUUUUCUGAUCCUUUCUUCUAUAAAAAGGUAUUUUGAUCUAUCAAGUGUUGGGCAUUCUGCAGUAAGCUAGGGGAAACUCAGUUGAACCUGAAUAUAUGUCUUGUUUCAAGCACAUUGAGCCAUUUCUUUUGGAGAACUACCUAUUUUUAUUUUUAUCUCCAAAAGUUUUCUAUCCAGAAAAAAAUAUGUAUACCUGUUUGAUUUUUUUAAACUUUUAUUGUGCAUAUGCACACAAGUGAAUGGAGUAUAUACAAAGAGACACCCAGAGCAACAAAUUCAAAAAUUUCCUUGAUAAAUCAGUCUAAUUUUGUUUUUAGUUGAACUUUAAGUGCCUUUGUAAAGAGAAGGCAGAUUUCAUAUGUCAUGAUGUAGCUAAUGCAUAUGCAUGCUAUUGAUCAUUGUAACAUAAAAGACAUGUUUCUUUCAUGUAUUAAUACGUACCUUUUAUUUUGAAGGUAAUCUCUGUUCAUCUUCACAAGCUGUGAAUAUUCUAAUGUUUUGAGAUAAAGAUCUUCCUGUAACCUUGCAAUGUGUUGAUUUUGAUCUUCUGUAAUUGGGCUACUCUUAAGAAACUGCAAUAGUGUGUCACUGAGGAUCUUAGUGACAUUAGGGCUUCGGGUCAUGGAGACAAAGGCUGUGCAGUUAAAUUGACUUUGAACCUUUUGGAAGACCUGAUUAGCAAGUGUUGUCUUGCCUAAUCCCCCGAAUCCCACAAUUGAAACAACCUUGCGCUGUGUGUGCAAACUAAUGCCAUCAUUGAGCCAUUGGACAAGUUUGUCUAUUUGUCUAUCUAUACCCACGAGUCUAUCUGCCUCCUCAUAUAGUGCAGGCAACCUGGGAUCGAUUGCCACUGACUUUGGAGAUAAGGUGGAUGGAUCGAUCUUAUACCUUUUGCGCCGAUCACUAACCUCCAUCACGCGUUCCUUCAGCUCAUUAAUCUGAAUACCGAUAUGAUAAUGUGCUUUCAGAGUGAUGACCUUGCUUAUGAUCUUCUGGAUGAACCCAUUGCAGGUUGCGACAUGGCCAAGGCGGUGCAUGAAGAUGUCAAUGCAAUCCUCGACAUCAUAUGACAGCUCCCUCAACUGACCCAUCCACUCCUUUACUUGCAAGCUUGCUUCCUCCGACUCGGACACCAUCUCUAGGGUGGUGCUCAUGCUUCUUAGUUCUUCUCGCAGAAAGAUGACCUGCCGAUGGACGCCUUGGAGGUUGACAUCCUCCCUCUCCAACAGGCUGCCGAGCCUACCGAGGAGGGGGUUCAUCACCCCCAUCAGAGCACUCGCCGUCACCCCAACCAUCUCUUCCUGUGCACUCUAUAGAAGUUAGCAAGAAAUUUGCUGUAACGGGUACUGGAAUGACGCUUGGAUCUCUUAUAGCCCAGCACUUGUCAUGCGCAGGAAGUUUCGUCCAUGCUACCAACGCGUGUACUGGAAAAAAUAAAGAGGCUUACCAGGUCAAAUAUUGUCAGCGUGGUCGUGUAGGUUCAGAAAAUCACUAGAAGUUACCUUAUGCGUCGUGGAAUUUAAGAAUACACCACAGCUUGUUCUACGCGAUUGCUACACCGUACCAGGUCUGCUAACAACUGCAAUCAAAACAAUCCCUCCAUUUUCUGUACAUAUGCCUUUUUUAGAAAUUGAGCAGUGAGUCUUUCUUAACUUUACUGUUGAUAACUACAGAACGUAAAAAUAACUAUCUAGAUCACUCAUGUGUGCAAUACUAUUAGAUUUGUUAUGACAUUUAGUGCAUAAUGUUUGGAUCGGGAUAACACGCGACCUGUCACGCAAAAACUCAACGCGCGACCCCCCUCUAACCAGUCACAUGUGGGUACAUCGAGCAAUUAUGUGCCGGCACCUGUCUGAAAAAUCAUCAAGUGCUUCACGCGUAGCCCCUCAACAACGAUGUUGAUUUCACGCGUAGCCCCUCAACAACGAUGUUGAUUUCGCCUAUGACGUUGGUAUUAAUAAGUAGACACAUUUUCUUUAAAUGAUCAUAACUCUGUUAACGAUCAUCUGUUUUUAAAUCCAUUUGUACCGUCGCGUUUCUAGUAAUAAGAUCUACAAAACUAGAUCCAUAUUUGAUAUGUUUUGAAGAUAUUUUAUAUAACUAGCAACUUAUAUUGAUUAUAUAGUAGCAACUUAUGUACAAAGUGUGUGAUAACUUAUGUAUUAAACUUAUGUAUAGCUAUGAAAUAACUUUUAUAGAUAUGGUGUAAUAACUUAUGUACAUGUAAUGUAUCAAUAUAGAGAUUAUGUAUCAACCUUUAAUCUUAUAUUGUACAUCUACUCGUCCAAUAGGAAAUUUAUAUAGAGAUAAAUAUACCCACAUAUGAAAAGGAUGUGUAACAACUGUGUGCAAACAGUAUAACAACUUAUAUAGUAUAUGCUUGUAAUGUGGCGACUUAUUUAGAUACUUUAGGGUAAGCAAUAUGACAAUAAAAUUAUUAUUUCAGCAAUUUAUGUGCAUAAUUGCAAUUUAUGUGCAUAAUUUGUUAAGAGGUUUACACAUAAGUUGCUACAUGCUUAAUACAUAAGUAGCUAAUAUAUAUAUUCAAUAUAAGUUGCUAAUACGUAAAAAAAUAUUUCAAAACAUAUGCAUAUGGAUCUUAUUUUGUAGAUCCUAUCAUAAAGAAAUACAGUGGUGCAAACGGAAUUAAAAAUGGACACUCCAGAAAAAAAUUAUCACAUCUUUUAGAGGUGAAACCAGGAAAAAAAAAGGCGUGGGCCACAACAGCCCACUUUUCCCAUCAUGCCGCAGAAGGCCACAUCGGUUAGGCGCUCAUGGGCUUGCGCGACCGAUCGUCAAAUAAAUUUUUUCAUAAUAUUUUAUACCUUGAGCUAGAUUUAUUAUCAAAUUAUCAUUUGAAAUUUAUGUUCAAAGUUACUUAGUGAAAAGUGAAAACCAUGUCUUGACGCAAUUCAAAAACAUCGAAUACUUGUUAACAGAGGAGUAUAUUUUUCCUUGUGACAUCCUUUGUCAUUUUUUUGUCAAUGGAAUAACAGGCAACCGAAGCAAAAAUGUCAUAAGGUGUAUGCUAUACUGGCGCCUGUUUAGGUGACUCCAAUCUACUGGUCUUACGGUCUUCUUGAAACAAUUGCCUAAUGUACCGGUCUUAAGGUCAACUAUUCAAAAUCAUGCACUGCCCCUUUCGAUGUCCCUCCUGACGGGGUCUUCUGUAAAAUUGGAUUACUUCCUUCCACUGUCCCACAUGCUGAUGGAAACUGGACACCAAUCCAGCAAAGACUCAAGUAGUCAAUGCCAAGUUUUAGGUGAUUCCCGUCCUGAAAAGCCAAAGAGAAGUUAGUAGAAACUGAGAGAAGUCUAAAACAACAUCAACUUGGCAGUAGUUGUCACUGUCCAGCGAAGUAUUCAUACCUUGAGAGUUGAAAUAAUGGAGUCACCACUGGCACUGUCAUAAACAGCCCCUGCGUCGUCCGUGACGGGCGACUCGGGUGGCAACCCUGACACCCGCUGCCGCCGCUCCCCGGAAGGCUUCCCCAGCCUCUGCUGCUGCUUGAGAAGCCUGCUGGAAGCCUAGCGAGUGUAACAUCUCUGGUAAUUAGCAAAGCAAAUCAAGAGUAAUCAAGCAAACAAAUCACACUACACUCAAAUUUGCCACUUGUCAAAUUUCAAAUGCACCUUAAUUUUUUAAGUGUUGAAAACCCCACAAAAAGGUUGAAAGGAAGUCAAUAGGGGCAAAACAAGAAUCCAAAGGUGAAAACAAGAAAAUUUAGGAGGAAAGAGUAGAAAACAGUCCAAGUUCAAAAUGUCAAACUCUAAAGACCUUUCAAAUUCACUAAGUGUUGAAAAUGUCAACUUUUGACCGAUAUAAAAGUUGUAGAACUUUUGAAAACAAACAACUUUUGUUAUUUGAGAUUUCACUGAUUUUGAGUGGAAGGCUUUCAAUUUUUGAAUCAAAAUUCAGCAAAAUUUAGGGGAAAUUCAAAACAGCCAAGCUGGUGUUCCACCAAUAUUCCAACCGUUUUAUCUCAAAUUUGGUUGAGAAUUUCACCCAUAGGCUUCUGUAGAAGUUGAAGAGUAUGGUUUGAACUACAACUUUUAUAUAUGGAAAUUUUUGAAGUUUGAAUUUGAAUUUUGGAGAAAAUCAGCCCCAAACAUGCUGCCUAUGCACACCACCGCGAAUGCACAUGCACGUGAUCGCGCACGACGUGUUGCGGCACGCCACGUCGCGAUGGCCCCUUGGUGCAGUGCGCCGGCCACUCGCUGCCGGCGAUGGGACGGGACGUCCCCGGGCGCUCGCCCAAUCGCGCACCCGCGCCAUCCCCCUCCCGACCGGCUGAUCUUUGCCGGCCAGUGCCCAGCGCGCGCGCCAUGCCCUCCGGCAGAUGCCCGCUGCCACGUCGCUGCUCGCCGUUGGCCUCCACCACCCGGCCAAUGCCUGCCAGCGAAAUGACAGCACGAGCAUGCCUCCCAGCCACUCUGCACACGAGACAGACCAGAUGCCCAUGGUAAAGAUCACUCCCUGCCACUCACCAGCCGCGCGCCCACGCCCCAGCACCACCGCGGCCAACCGCCGAGCGUCCCGGCCUGCUCCGCGAGUCGCCGGCCUCCCCGUGCUCCCCGGUGGACCCUAGCUCGCCCUCGGCACUUGCUGAACCGCCCCAUACCCCUCUGCCGCUAUAAAAGGCACUCCCCACCCCUCGUCGGCGCUGCCCCGCCAUAACCGCCACACCGGAGCACUGCCGCCGCACCCUCGUCGUGGAGCCAUCCCCUCCGGGCCUCCCCGCUGCCUUCUAAGAGCAACUCCAAGAGUAUCCUAAAAAAUUCUUCCCCAAAACUAUAUAUUGGGGGUUCUCCUAACAAAAAUUUCCCCCAAAAACAUAUCAGUCCACAGCAGAUCGCUAAUAAAUAGCCCCCAAUAUUUCAAACACAAGCCACGUCAUCGUAUUGGGCCCAUCGGAAGGGACGCGCGGGCGUGCGGGAAUCAGGAUUGGGGGAGGAACGUCAACGCUAAAAUAUACGCGGUGGCAGACUGUUUUUUAGCGUCGCUAAAAAAUUGGGGAAGGUUUAGGUGGAUUGUUGGAGUUUAUUUUUUCUCUCUUUUUUCCUAAAAAAGGUAUUGGGGGUAAGAUUAGCAGCCUCUUGGAGUUGCUCUAAGCCACCUAGUCGCCCUCCCGUGCACCCCUGCAGCUCCUCGAGCAAUUUCCCGGCCAUCCCCGUCACCACCGGUGCUGGAGCAGGAACCCCCUCCACCGCGCCUGAAGCUCACUGUCGCUAGCCACCGCCGGUCACCCUUCGCCCUCGACCUCCACAACGCACCGAUUUCGGUGAGCUGCUGACCACACCUGUGCCGUUCUUUCACCCCCUCCCCGCUGGACUUCGUCAGGAUUUCGCCAGCAAGCUGCCGGAGAAGCCAAGGGGCAUAUUGCAAGCCUCCAAGUCUUUGUAGGGUCUAAACCAUAAAAUGGCAGGGCCUUUCUAUGAAUGUUUAAAAGUUAGGAGGACCCCUCUGUAAACGUAUUUAACCUUUCUAUUUUAAAAUGGAAUAAAAGGGCUGAAACUUUGAAAAGGUGUAGGAAAUUGUAGAAAAAUGCUAAAAAUGCAAAACCAAUUUUGUUGGACUCCAGAUGCUGUCUAGUUUCACUAAAAAAUAAUUUUGGACAUGUCACUAUUAUAUAUUUCACUAUAGGAUUUAUUUUGUGUAAAAGCCAAUAAAUGCCUUAUAAAUCCUAGAAAAAUGAGAAAAAUGCGAAACCACUUAUGUUAGUUCACUCUCGACAUGCUUGUUCUAGAUAUGUAAUUUAUACUACUGGUUUAAAUGAUUAUCUCACUAUUUUAAGUCUAAAUGCUUAAAUGCUAAGUUGUGUUGGUUUAAAAUUUAGAAACAGGAUGACUUUCCAAACGAAUGUUGAGCAACCCCAAAAUGACCCCGUCCUUCUUUGUGAAGUCUUAGUUGUUAAAACCUUAUAUGUGUACACAAUCACCAUCAAGUCAAGCAUGAGUUCUAAAUCGCAACACACCUUACUUUACUAAGACAUAAAAGUUUAAAAUCUUGUCUAGGUGAAUGUGGCUGAAAAGAAAGAAAGGGUUAAAAUCUUGUCUAGUAAAUCUUAUGCAUAUGCAUCUCGUGUAGAAGCUAAUAUCACUAACGGUACGUAAGAGUUGGUUUCGGAAGCUGAAGAGGAACACUCGGAUGCUGCAGUGAACUUGAUCGAGGCCACGCAAGACCCGAGCCAAGCUUCGGAAGAGCCACAGGCUAGUGUAGUACAAGAACGCAAGCCUCGGAGCCUAACCCUAGUUUCCAAAUUAUGCAAUACUUAUGUUACUUAUGUUUGUGCAUUAAGUUCAUAGGAGUUGCUUGAAACCUUAGUUGCAUGCUUCUAGUACCCAUGACUUGAAUACUAGCAUGAUAAGUCGAGUAGUUGCUAUGCUAAAUAGGGACAUGGUAAAAGUUGAGUGUUUUCCUAUCACUCGCGAGCUAUAGGAGUUGCCUAUUUACUUAUGUUGGAAUCAUAAGGUUGACAGGCGGGGCUUGGUAAUAUGUUUUGGAACUGGUGGAUGCCCCAUCUGUAUAGAGGAAAAACUGCUAAGGUUGAAACGUGUGGGAGUCUUUGUCAAGUUUUUGAACGUGCUAAACAUAUGCUGAGAGUAUGGGGAAUCAGUAAGCCUAGUACUUGAUUGAACUAGUGUGGACCUUUACCCCACUCUCUCUGGAACUGGGUUCCCAUGCAACCUCAUGUGGGUACAUGUGCAGGCAUGGUACAACGUCGUUCCGGGACCGUGGGGCAUUGUAUCCAAGGGAAUUGGGCUCUGGACAAACACCGCGAAUUGACGGGAACCGUUGAUAUAUGCGAACCCAUCGCAGUAAUAGCAUAUGUCGUGUGUUUAGGUCCACCUUGCAAGGUUAAGAAAUCCAAUUCGAAUUGUUUGCUUCUCACAAUUUGGGACUGCUUGACCUCUUUUCCUACAUUGAGUAAGAAGAUGAAUAAUGAUGAUGCUUAAUAUUGAUUGUUGAUUAAAUUACUUGUUCUACCAUGCUUGCUUAGAAUAGGUGCUUACCUAGAAUGGUUAAUCAACUUGAACUUGAUGCUAAAACUUGAAAGUAAGGAUCCACUUUAGAAGCUUUUGGCAAAACAAACCCCUCAGCCAAAAAACCUUGCAUGUCUAGGAGUCGGUGGAUUAGAUACCACCUGAUGGGUAAGUCUUACGGAGUAUUAAGUAUACUCAGCCUUACUUGUGGCUAUGUUUUUCAGAUAAUAUGGAUGUGAAUGACUAGGUUGCUAGUGUGACUUGGGUGUCCCAAAUCCCUCCGGGAUGGACGGUUGAGUGGGACCCAUCCUCGAUCGGUGAGGAUCGUGGUGAUUGAUAUCAUGGCAGGCUUCACUAUGGUAUUAUGUAUCGACGUUAGAACUAUUGUUAUUUUCUGCUGCUGUUGAACUCUGAACCACUCCUUUAUGCAUUUGAACUCUUGGUUGGUUAUAACUUAAUUUGGGACCUGUAAUAUGUUAUCUGGAUUAUUGUAAUUUCUGGACUCGUCUUCAUGCGAGCUUGGUAUGCUUGUUUUGAUCUGAAACACGUGGUUGUAUCGGGUGAAACUCGACAGACUACCAUCUUAAUUCGAUUAAAGUAUCUAUUUGGAUUUGAGGCGAUGUUGAGCACACUUUAGCUGGGUUAAUUUGGGUGGUUCUGCCACAACGAGCUUCGAGGAUAGUGGUGACUGGGCCAUCUUUGCUCAUGGUGACAUCUUGACCGAUGGGCAGCGGCCGGGUGCGAUGGGCAGCGGAGGAACUCCACCAGCUUGGCAGUGGCCGGAGGUGGCGUCCAGACCGUCGGAUCCAGUCGGAGAAGGCUAGUGACAACUGGAUCUCCUCGGUGAUGGCACCACCCCUCUUCUUUCUCCUUCGCUCCCCUGCUCUCCUCUCAUCCCCGACCUAGGUCAUCUCGAUCACUGCCGCUGGUUGCCGAAGCUACCGGCCGCUAGUCGUCCUUCGCUGGAUAUGCAGCCUCGAGGCCUAGAUCUGCACUCUCCCAGGCUCGGGGGCCCGUCUUCCUCCCAUCGUCGAGGUGGCCCCCGCAGCUUGGGGUGGUGGCAGCGACGGUUUCUGGACCUGCGAGACUGGGAGCGGGCGUCGUGCCCUUCCUCGCGCCUCGCCGCGCUGCUCCGGGCCGCCUCCCUCCCGCCGCACCUGUCGUGGGUGCUACCCACGGAGCUGCUCCGGCGUCGCCUCCGUCGAGGGGCUUGAGGCCAUGGCCACGUCCUGCGGCCGCACGACUGACGUCGCGACUGAUGCUGUGGCUCGGGGCUGCGCCGAUGACUCCACUGAUGCUGCAGGGGCUGUGGGGUUGCUGGCAGCGGGCUGCAGCGACUGCGUGCUGGGGCGUGGCGGCUUGCGGCGGCCGCAUCGAGCGGGCAUGGGUGAAGCGGCCGCCGUGUCUGGGGGGGGGGGGGGGCACUGCCGCUUCUAUGGCGUCCGCUCUAGGCCACGGCGCCUCACCGGGGGCUGCUCCCCCACCUGCAGCAGGGCCUCGUCGGCCAGCCUGUCACACCCUGAAAUUUUGGGAUUUCAGGAUGUGAUUAGAAAGAACAAUUGAACAAUAAAUUUUCUUAUAAUUUUAAAAUUUUUCCAACAUUUAUUUUCUUUACAGAAAAUAUAGUAUAGGAAAAGCAAUUGGUGGUUUUUCUAAAUUAAGUAGUGUUAUUUUGUGUGAGUUGCAUUCAUGCCGAUGAUCUUGGUGUCUCUUGAGUGAAAAAAGUUUUAAAAAUGCAUUUAGAUAUUGAUGAGGUUCUUCCGAGAUUGAGCUCAAUCCAAUUUCUUGAAGGCUUUAAAACCCCUUUUCACGAGCUCCGAAUAUUUAUUUGGAUUCCUCGUGUCCCAAUCUAUCUCUAGGAAUUUUCCUAGAAUUUUUAAGAUUUUCAGAGUAUUUUUCGUGGCUUAAAUGAAUUAUCUAGAUUUUGUGGAUUUUUAUUUAGAUAGAAAAUUAAUUCUGAAAAAAAGGAAACCUAUCCUACCAAUUUGGGCUGAGCCUGUGGGCUUGACCCGCGUUGGCCCAUCCAGCCCGCCGAGGCCCAUCGGACGCCGAAGCCGCCGCCGUCGAACCUCGACGUGCGCAGGCACAGGUCCCUGCACCUAUAAAGGCUGCUGCUCGAGCCCCAGGGUCCCGAGCUUCGCGCGCCGCCACUGCCACCGCUCGCAUGUGCGAGCCGCGCCACCAUCGCCAAUGCCGCUGUCGGGCACGCCGUGUCGCCCCCUCGUGCCUCGCAUGCCCGAGCCGCGCCGCCUACCCCUCACGCGCAUGACUUUCGUCCGCCUUGCUGCCUCACCCGCCGCUGUCUUGUCGCCUUGCCGUGUUGCGGAUGUCGCCUGGAGUGAGAGGAAUAGAGCCCCGCAGCUGUUCCGACUAUCGCCGCCGUCGCUUCACCUUUGGGGCGAGCCAGCAUCAUCGGUAGCUUCCCCUUACCGAGCUGCACACCCGCCUCCUCUUCUCGUCAUCAUCCCGUCGCCGGAGCAUCGCCGGCUAGUGAAGUCCAAGCCGACCGCCAUGUUCCACCGCCGCCCAACCAAAUCCGAGUCGGAAACCAGCCAAUCCCGCACCUCUCCGCCACCGCCACCUCAUCCUCCUCUUCCAAUCCCCAUCCUCGCCGCUGACCCUAGGCUGCUGGAGCGCCGGCGAGUUGGCCGGUCAAAGCCGCCGCAAGCCAGGAGGAAGAAGAAGCCCCACCCCUUAUACGUUUAUGCCCUUGGAGAACCCUGUAAUGUUUGGCCUUUUCUUUGUGUCUUGUGCAUCUUACAGAUAGCCCCCUGGAAAGUUUAGAUGCCUGCCACUUAGUCCAAACCGAGCCCUUUUGCAGAUCUAACCUAAAGGUUUUACCUAUUCACGAGCACUGUUCCAUGUGUCUUGUGAAUCUUCCUUGCUAGCCCUAUUAUCUACGGUUAAUCACGACUAGACCCCUGAACCUUGUUUCAUCCACAGAUUACACGUUUUAGCUUCGUUUCUAUCCGUUCAAAUUGCGUUAGAUUCAUAACAACAUAAGUUACACGUUAGUGGUGAUGUUUUCCAUCAUUGCAUAUGUUUUAAGAUCAAUUUAAUAUUAAUCUGGUUAGUACCUAUUAAACAUGUUGUCUUUAAUUCAAAGCUAUUUAGUGUUAAUUUGAUUAAUGCUUACUCUUAAAUAUUUUUCCAAUUAAAAGCUAAUUAGAGAUAUACCUCGGCUUUUUAUAAAUUAAACUCAAUUUGAUUAAUGUGUAUUAAUUUUUUUUAUAAAUAAAAGCUACAUAGGAUAUAUAUGGAGUUUUCAUAAUUAAAUGUUAAUUUGGCUAAUAUAAAUAUAAAUGUAUUUUUGAAUUAUAUUUGGUUAGUUCAACCUGAAUCAUAAAGUUAUACGCUUAGAUGCUUUUACAUGCUGCUUUUAAAAAUCAAAUGUUUAAUUUGCUUAAAAUUGUCCUUAAAUAUUUAUAAAUAAAAUUGGACCAACCUUUACGUCGUCUUCUCGUAUUUAAAUAUGACUUGAUUAAUUCCAACGAAGGACACACCCGUGGCUACCGGCCAUCAGUGCCCUCACCGGCCUCACCCGCAUGGUCGUCGGGAGGCGCUGCAUUGGCGGCAGCCGGUCAUGGCGGGUGCAUCCCUCGGUCCUUCAAGUUGUAAGGUUUCUCAUUUCUCCGAUGGUCGCUCCUCGUCAUCGACGUCUCCUUCCCCUUCCUCCUUUCCUUCUCUCUACCCCUCCUCCCUUCACCCGACCGCACACUGGUCGUGCUCCGGUCGCUACCCUUGGUCACCGCCUUUGCUGUUGAUUUCCCUGGCGGGCCUCUGCCGGUGCCCUCCCUAAGACCCAUAUGCUCCUCUCUCCCUCCCUUCCCUCUCCCCCUCUUCCCUUCACCCCACCGCUCCCAAGUCAUGUUACGGGUUCUCCCCAAGGUCGCCGCCCUCGCUGGUGGUCUCCUCCGUCGGGUCUUCCACCAGAUCUAACCCCUUUGACUCGGAUCCAUCGCUCACUCUUUGUUGCCGAUGGUGGUCGCUCCUGGGGCCAUGCCUCCUCCAGGCGUCUUCUUCGCUGCUAGGGUUUGCCAUGUUUUUCCUCCCCAUGUUGCUUCAGGGUGCCGCCGCCGCCCUGUGCGGCUACCUCCGCUACGGGUCAUCCCCGAUCAUCGUCAUUGAGUGUUACUGGGUGGGGGGAGGGCUUUGUUUGCACCUGCAUGUGCCCUUCUGUUCAUGGCCUUGUGUUGGUCUACAGGAUACCCUUUUCCCAAACUUUCUGCUAGGUCUUCGAAGGUGUGUUUGCGGUGCUUGGUUGUGGAUUUCACGAGCGAAAGCUCUGCCCGGUGUUGUUUGGUGCCGGCAAUGGCUACAUCCGUGGGUGUAUCUCACUCUAUUUUUGGGCGCUGUCGAGGUCAUCUACAAUAGUUUGAUCAUGCCAAGUGAAAACUUUGUCCAUUCUCUCUUGAAUGGAUGGACGACAGCGUCGUCUUUGAUGUUGUUCCCUUCUUGGAGGCGCCGUCUUGGAUAUCCCUCUGCUCUACUACUCCGCUCGGUUGACCUUGGUGUUGUUCUGGUUGUUGGCAGCUCUGUUAAUCUUGCAGGCUGUCAGUUGUUUGGGUCAAUGUUUUGGUUGGUCCAUUACAUAGGGGUGCUGUUGUGGAGUGAGUGGGGUUUUCUGUUCUUCUGUUGGUGGUUGUUUGCCACAGCUCUAGGUCAUCUAUUCUCACCGACGCCACCCCUCACCUUCUAGUCAUCUUUGGAUUACUGCGGUCACCCCAUGGUCGCUCCUUGAUUGUCUUUGGCUGUGCAUGCGGAUGUUCCUCAUCGUUGUCACCGUGGAUUGCUCGCUACCAUCCUAUCGCAUUGGCUGUCGUUGGAUUUAGUGACCGGCAGUCCACCAAUAGGUUACCCAAGUGGUAGAUUUAUAGGCGGGGGAGAUUGUAAGACCAAGAAUUCGAAUGGUAACAUAUAGGCACAAGGUUUAGACAGGUUUGGGUCUCCAGAGAGUAAUACCAUAUGACCUAUGUUUUGGGGGGAUUGUAUUGCUGAUCGCAGGUGUGAAGAGUUCACGUGCCCUCGGGGGGCGCCCCUAGCCGCCGUAUAUAGGCUGACGACCUAGGGUUACAAUUGGAUAGGAUCUAGUCGGUUGUAACAAGGAAAUCAUUCUAAAUCGAUUUACAACAAGUAUCCUGAGAUAUCCGGGCAGAAUCCGUUUGCCCGGCCUCCAAGCUUGUGCACCACGUGUCUUCAUUGCUUGCCCCGCACACCAUAGUUGGGUGGGGCCCACUUGUCAGGCUGGCUAGUAUCCUGGUUGGUGGGAACCCAUGGGUACCCUUAUCCCUCAAGCCCCUGAGCAAUGUGGAGUUGAACAGGAGCCUGACGGAAGCACUACGAAGCUUGUAAUGUACUCGGCUGAAGUUGCGGUUUCGCCAUAGGGACGGAGAGGAUGUGCGGUGCUCAAAAAAAGGAGAAAUUGAAGCUUUCACAGGCGUAUGACCAAAUGCACGUGGCUAUGCAACUGCUGAGCUCCAGGAUGUAUGACAUCCUAUAGAUCAAAGGGAGGCACAUAGAGGGCGUCGCAAGACACACUUCAUAUGGAGUAGCCCCCGAGCAAUGAAGGGAUUAAAGUAAUCGGUCCAAUGAUCAAGAAUUCAUGCAGUACUUAUAUUAUAGGUUUUCGAAAUAUGGCACCCAGUGCUCGAGCGUAAGGAUUGGCAGAGCCGCGGAGGCACACCGACCUAAAAUAGGCACUCAGCCUUCGAGCACGAGGACUGGCGGAGCCUAGGAGGCACACCAACCUGAAGUAGGCGCCCAGCCCCUGAGCGUGAGGACUAGCAGAGCCGAGGAGGCAUGCCAACCUUAAAAAGGCGCCCAACCCCCGAGCGUGAGGACUUGUGGAGCCAAGGAGGCACAUUGACCUGAAGUAGGUGCCCAUUACCUAAGCACGAGGACUGGUAGAGCCAAGGAGGCACGCCGACCUGAAAUAGGUGCCCAGCCCCCGAACGCAAGGACUGGCAAAUCCAAGGAGGCAUGCUGACCUGAAAUAGGCACCCAGCCCCCAAGCACGAGGACUGGUGGAGCCAAGGAGGCACGCCGACCUAAAAUAGAUGCCCAGCCCCCGAGCAUGAGGGCUGGCCGAGCCAAGGAGGCAUGCCAUGAGAUUUAAUAGAAAACCCAUGGAUUCCAUCCACUGCGUGUGCCGUAACGGGAGAACCAUGGAUUCUGUCGCUAGGUCUACGCUGUCAACCCCUUCAAAAGCUGAAGGGGCACAGUUUCCUUUUCAUUCCACUCCUCUCUCCCCCAAGCGCUGCUGCCACCAACGCCAUUGCCACCAUGCCUGAGAGCCCUAGGUUGCGCCGCCGCGCCCUUAAGCCGCAUCCAUCGCCUCUCACCCGGAAGCGUUAGACACCACCACCAUUCCCCGCCGUAUGCGAACCAAGGGGCCCACCUACAUCCGAUCUGUGUCUCAAGGAAUAGAAACCGAAGAGAUGGUGGUGGAGCAUGUCGUACAUACAUCUAUGGGCCCACCAAAAGGUUUGGACAGUCCUAGAUACAAGGCUGGACAUCGAGACGUGUCUGACAUAGAGGCUAUGGUGCAGGACGGCGUAGUCUACGUGACAGGAUAGGGACUAGUCAAGGAUUAGGAAGACUACUCAUAGCAAUUAGAGUUGGACUCACCUAGUCGAAUCUGACUAGUAUUCUUAUAAACAACUGACGCGUAACCCUGCCCCCGGAGAUAUAAUGCGAGGUAGGGACCCCCUCCAAAGCAAUUCAAUCCGACCAACACACAUGACGUAGGGUAUUACACAAUCUAGCGGCCCAAACCUGUCUAAAUUGUGUGUCUGUGUUCACCUUCAACUUCCUGAUCUCGGCGAGCCCCACUAACCAAACACUACCUCAGGCACCCCUCUCAGUAUGUUGCCGGGUCUAAACACUAACAAAGCAGGCGUCGGACCCAUCAACCUACUGGGUGAAGUUCAUGAUGACGGAGGAGAAGAUCAAAGCACUCGAAGACCGCAGCCUCCUCAGCCCCAAAUCACUUCUGGAGUGGAAGGCGACCGCGGGCUAACAUUUCCCCUCCAAGGAUCGGACCGAGACCAUCAUCUUUGUGGCAUUUCUCGAGCGAGGAUUUAGGAUCUUCGCCGUAGAUUUCUUCCGCGAACUCCUUGAUUACUACAAGAUUUAGUUAACGAACAAGGGGUGGUAGAAGGAGUGGUUCAUUGUUGACAACCAGAAGCCUGAGCUACCCCCCGCCUCGGGUUCGCGCCUGUGACAAGGUUGGAGUGGUCAAACCAGCCGACCUCCAAAGAGAUGGUCCAGGUGAAGCAGCUGCUGAAGGUGAUCGCCGACCUGAAGGCGUGUGGGCUCACAGUGGGGGCUGUGAGCAUCAAUUUUUGCCGGAGGCUGACACAACCUAUCAAGGAUAGGGUCCGCCUGGUGGAUGAGUACUCAGGUCCAUUGGAUCUGACCCGGGAGGUGCAGCAGAAGGUUACCUGGGGAGAAGUUGCCAGCUGGGUGUCUGAGAUUUUUUGCGGUGUCAUCAAGAACAAAUGCUGCCCCAAAGCAUAUUCCCUUAAGAGGCUAUCCGACCUGGUAAGAUCUUAACUUUGUCAUUUAACUAUCCAGUUGUGCAUUGCAUUUCCUGUUCUCUAUUUGAUCCUAUUUAUCGGCCAGAGCCGAGAAUUUUAGUUUUUCUAUCUAGCGCCACUUCCUGGAGGGUCCGAGCCACAACGACCUAAGGUCUGCCCCACCAACGAUGCCGAUCUGCCGCUUGCUACCCUUGACUGGGAGUCGGACUCGUCCAUUGGUGUCUCGAACGAGGACGUGCUGAUCCGAGGCAGUAGAACAGAGGUUGGGAGCACUGCUCUUGUUGGGUGGCGGAUGUGCCAGGCCACCCACAAGGUGGUGGAAUCCAAGGUGCCGGAGACGGAGAAGAAAAAGCGGAGAAAAAGAGGGGCCACUAUGUAACACCUAGUGUUAUUACAAGCUUAAGAAAGUCAUUAAAAGGUUAAUGAUGAAUUUUGGAUCAAAGAGAAGUAUUAUGGGUCAAGUUCAAAUUUAAGCCAAAUUUGACCAAAAAUUCAAACUCAAGAUUCAAAUUAGGAAAUUUUUUACAAAAAUGUGGAAUCAAGAGUUGAAGGUGUUAGAAUUCAAAGGAAUCAAGUUGAAGGUCAAAUUCAAGUCAUAGGCAUCUCAAAUGCAUAGUCAAAGUGGUUGACUGGAUGUUACUAUUCACCAUAAAAACAUUCCAAGUCUAAAACAGUGACGAGCAUUCAACUUUGAAAUUGAUUUGAGAAGAAAUUUUCAUCUAAGCUGUGUGUGGUUUUGGAUGACAAGUAGACUUGGAUAAUCAAUGAACAAAUUGAGUAAGUUGUUGGCUAGAGGAUUCAAAGGAUUCAAAAUUUAAAUAAGGUUCAAAGUUUGAAAGUUUCACUGUCAAGAGUUGACUAUCGAGAUUGAAUGGCAAUGGCCAUUUCAACUCUGAAGAAAGUGAUAAUUGGCCAACUUUGGCUCAAGAGUUUGAAGGAUUCUACAUGUAAAUGAUGGGAAACAACAUGCAAAAUGGAACCCCUAAAGUGUGGUUAACAAGUUACAAUGGCUCUUGGACAAGGAGAAGUUGGUUUGAAUAUUUAAAUCUGAAUUCAAAGUUUGGACAGUGGCUGUUUGAAAGUUUGUCUGAAGGAAUUGAAUGGAGUGUUUGAUUAAACACUAACAGUGCAGUGCAAGGGGUCCAUUUUGGGGCUUCAAUUCAAAGUGAUAGAGUGAUAUUUUGCCCUCGAUGCAAAUCUAUAGAAUGUAGCCCUAAGAAGCCUCUACAAGUUAGCUUAAAGAAGAUUGGGGAGUUUGAAUUGAAAGAUUGGCGCAAAUUGGAGUUGAAUCUCGAGCGGAAUUGGGGAGAAAAGGGGGGAAAGCAGAGCUGAGCUGCUACCACGCACCUGCUUGCCGCCGAUGGCAAGGGCAGUUUCGCCAUGCCACGCGCUGGCAUAUGCCAGCGAGGUGAAGCAGGUAGGCAGGCAGGACGUGUCCAUCACAAGGGCAGUAAAAAUUCGUAUAAAUAACCGCUCUCGUUGGCCAUCUCUAUCCUUUCACCGCACCGCUCACUUUUUUUACCGCACCUCAAUCGCCAGUGAGUUCCGCCGCUACCCCACCACUGCCAGGCGUUUCCCUCUGCCAGAACCAUCCCACCAGUCGCUGUCCAGCCCCACCCACCACAGCGCUUUCCUGUCAUCGUCUUCUUCAACUCUGGCAGUCCUCUAUUUUUGGUAAGGCUGCCGCCGUGGAGAGCUAUGCUAUCGAAGCUCUGGUCGUUGUCUGAGGGUAUAGGUGUGUCACGCACGAGCUCUAGAUGGUUUAGGUAUGGCUUGUUGGCCUGGAGCACAGACGGUUGGUCGGAGCUGCUGCCACCGUGCGCGCCUCCGCCAUGGCCACCGUAGUCGAGCUGUUUGCUUCGGCUACGGGGAGCUUUGGUUUGGGCAAGCGAAAAGUGUUUUAGGUUGAGGCGAAGCCUUAGAGCUAGCUUGUGGGUAGAGAGUCACCACUGUUGCACCGUUCGCCGCCGGGAAUCCUAGCGCCGCCCGUUCCGCCGCUGUGCUCCACCAUUCGCCGCCGCCGCUAGCCAACCUACCCUAAUAACACCACAAGUAGGUGCGCGUGGUCGAGGCGAGUCUAGCUCGGUAGUCCCCAUCGUCGGAGACCUCGCCGGCGGUGAGUUUCCGCAUCUACUCGCCGAUAAACCCACGGUUUGGGCUGGGAGCACUGUGCUCAAGUAAGGGCCCGCGCGUCAGUGUGAAGGGUUAGGGUGAGGGUGAGUAAUAGAGGAUUUCCAGGUGUGUUUUCGGGAAGAAAUUGAUUUAAGAGUUUUAGAAAUUAGAUUUAAAUUCUAUUUUCAUAUGCAAUUCAUUAUAAUUUGUAGAAUUGUCCAAAUUUAGUGAAACCAAUUUUAUUAGGUGUAUUUUAUUUUCCAUUAUGCAUUAAAAUUUCUUAAACCCUAGGAUAAGGUCAUAAAAUUUAAUUAUUUAUUUAGUACCUUUAAUAAAGGUAUUUAAAUAAAUACUUAAUCUUUAUGAAAUGUAUAAAAUUUUGAAUAAUGUUUUAUUAUUUACAAAUACUUAUUAAUCCAUAGGAAUUAAGUUUUUAAGGUUAGAAAUUAUGUAUAAUGCUUUUCUAAAUAAAAGAAAAAGGCUUAAGUUAGGUUAAUUAAGAACUUAAGUUGUGGGUUAAUCUUUCAUGGGUAGAUUAUUCAGGUGGUUCCUUGUGUUGAAGGAUCUUCCGAAGAAACUAACUUUUUUGUGAAUCACGGCAAGCCGCGGUGCAUCUACACCUCUAUAAUUUUAGAAAUUACUAUUCAUGUGUCCAAAUUAUUGGUUAUUUCCUUAUUAUGCAUUAAGUCUAGGAGUUGAUUGAAACCUACUCUUGUGCAUAAGCCAACGUUGUUUGUAGGACAUCUUUGCCACCUGUUCAAAUACUUAGUAACCAUCCUAUGCUUAGUAAUGCUUAGAUUCACCUUUGAGUAACUUUGUUGCUCAACCACUUAAGGUUAAUAUUGUCAUGCAUGUUGAUCACAGAAAUGGCUUUGAAUUUUGAAGUGGUGGACAAAAGCUAGAGAUGGUAGUUCUAUCCACUAAGAUUAAUCUGUUUGAGGCCCUUCGUUGUUUUAACCGCUGAUCAAGUGAUAUUACCUGGUUUCUUACUGCCAUUGGGAACCAGCAAGCCUGGUAGGUUAGUUGGCUCUCUGAUUGGAAAUAUUCUUACCCGUGCUUAGUGUGUAGCAGAAAGGUAGGGGUGUAGCCUGAAACUCACAUGGAGAUCAGACUAGACGUGGGGUCCCAUGUGGGGGUGCGUCCCUGGGUUUGGUUAAUUAUAUUUCCGAUCUUUGGGUACGACUAAUCGAAAGGUCGUUAUGUGCAACCCGAUCAGUUGUGCAUGCCUGGUAAUUAGGUAUCUCCUGCAGGAUUUAAAUCGGUUCGGAUUGCCGCAAUUCUCGGUUAUGAAUGCACUUGAUCAUCACUUAAGCAUCGUAGAGUAAACAAGUUGAAUAUAAUAUUUUCCUUGAAUUAAUAUUGUUGUAUGAUGUUUAGUCCGACUUGAGUGAACAAAAUAUUGUAUUCACCUUGACUGGUUAGGUAAGAACUAACCAUGAUUAAAAUAAUAAAACUAAGGUUCCAAAAGUAGUAAGCUUUUUGCAAAAAUGUGAGUCAGCUAGUACACUCAAAAGCUAUCAUAUUACUUGCAACAUUAUUUUCAAUCUACCUAUAUUGGUUAGACGGGUUAGUCUUGCUGAGUACCUUCGUACUCAGGGGAUCCCUUGUUGUUGUUUUCAGACGUGCAGCAGGGGUCUACUGAAGAGGAAGGCCUGAAGAACUAGGGUAUUUUACGGGUUUCGUAAUACCCUAGAGUUAAACCUAGUUGUUUAAUUACCUUACUCCUCGGACUUGUGUUAUAUCUGAAACUCUUAGAACGGUCUAACUUGCACUCUAAGUUUAUUUCAAUCUAUGGGUUGUAAUAAUUCGUACCUCCGGUAUGUAUGUAAAAAUAUAAUAUUUGUUGAUGCUUUCCCUUUGUGGAAGCGAUCUUGAUGUAUGGCUGAGAUUCAAGUCGUGGAUGAUUCGAGGCGUCCUAGGGACACUUGACGGAGUACCGGAUUUAAACUGUUUUAAGUGCAUUUUGAAUAAUUGUUGUUCCGACAGUGAUUAGGCGCAGUUAAGCUAGUUUAAGUCGAAUGGUUCCGCCACACACUAAGCCCUAGGCCCCGUUUGUGGCAACCAUCUCCCCCACUGAAGCCUCAUCUGGGGCUAUAACUAACGACUCCGAGUUGCCCAUUCCGGCCACGAAGAAAAAGAAGGCCGAGCUCCUUGAGACAAUCGCUGCCGACGUGGAGAAGCUCAAGGAGUGGCUAGAGGUAGAGAUCCACGGCGGAAAGUAGAAAGAGCCAGCCCUGCCACUACCAGCGCCUCUUCGCCCAGAGUUCCAAGCGAAAAAGAGCACACUGUGAGUAUGGACGUGGUGUCAUUUAUUAUUGGAAGUUUGUUUGUAUACUACUUUGCUCCAUGUGUGUGCCGCACUGACCGAGCAGGAAGGCAGUGAUGGAGGAUGAGCCAAGUUUGCAGGAUGCAGGCGUUGGAAAUUAGGCGGGAGGUCAGGUUCCUGAGGCGGCCCUGGGGGCUGCAUCUGCUUCUUCUAUCCAGGCCGGACACGAUGGCCACCUGGUGGUGGAGCCUGAGAGGCCUGACCAGAAGUCUCUACCGUGCCAAGAUGCUGCAGGAGAUGUCGCCGCAUCCGCGCCUAGGGCCGCAGAUGCCAGGGUCGAGGUGCAGAUGGAGGAGACCCCCAGGGAUGCACUGGUUGACACUGAGACGACAAGCUACGAUGCUAACGUCGGUGCCCGUGUGAAAGAUGAUCACACCACGUUGGACUUCGCUGGGAUGGCCUUGGCGCAGGAUGUUGCAGAUGACAACAAGGACCUUUCCAUCCUUAAGAAAGCUUCGGCCAAGGUCGGAGGUGUUAUACAUAAGUUGGCUGACCUAUCUUGAUGUUUACUUUUGUCCCUAUCUUCCUUCUUUGAAUUGUUGCAGUAACUUUUGUACAGAAUCUGGCCGAGUGUGCGCACAAGAGGACGGAUGCUAUCCACCGUGUCGAGGAGUAUCACCUCAUGGCUGAGCGCUAGGAGGUUGAACUCAAGAAUGUUAAGGAAGAUGCCACAUAGCAGCUCCGACAAAGAGAUCGGGAGAUCGAGGAGCAGAAGAAAAUCACCAAGGAGGUCCAGGGAGACUUUGAUGCCAUGCUAAAGGGUAUGUAGGUAGCUUGUUCGUGAUGGCCCCGAUUUGGGAGGGUAAUGUUGAUUCUUCUAUUCUUGAUGUGUGCCUUGCAGAUGCCGAAAAGAGGGAGGCAAGCCUUAAGAAAGACCUCAAGGAGUGUGAACCUGCCAAUGCCCGACUACAGCAAGACCGUGACAUUGUCGUGCACCAUGAGUAUGUCAUUUCACAAAAACUUGCCUAUGAGACUGGCUUGCGCAAGGAUAUGGACCGGUGCUUGAUUGCAGCAAUGCAUAGUCUUCAGCGUGAUCAGGUGGUCAUUGCAGGGUUGGAGGUGGAGCUAGAAGACCUACGAUCGGCCGCGGGUUAUGUGAUGAACAUGGUUCAGCCCGAGGCCAACCCUGCCAAGCCGACGCUGCUGCUCGACCAUCUGAGCAAUGCUCCUAGUCAGCUGAGAGCCUUAAUGAAGGAGAUCGCCAUGGAAUGCGCGAAGAAUGUCAUAGCGCUUCUGAAGAUGCAUUACCCCCGGCUGGCCAUGGAGUGCGUUGGAGCGGGGGUUGCCAAGGACUUCGAUCCUAGUAACCUUCUGGAGCUGGCCGACCAGUAUCAGCAGGUUGCAAAGGAUGUAGUCAAAGAGUUGGACCUGUAAUGGAAAAACUAUGAUGUGUAUCAAUCUGUGUCAUGAGACAAGUAAACUAGUCAAUUAACUUAUGCGAGUAGAAAGCCUCCAUCCCUCCUUUGGUGUAUAUGACUAGACAUCAUGUAGCUUAGGUCUGUAGCCACUAAGCACCCAUCCUUGCCUGGCUAGCACUCUGCUGAGAAUGGAUCUUGAGCUUGUAGAGGGGGGUGAACGCAAGGUUAUCUGGGUUUCGCGAGCUAGGACGUUGUCCACACAAGUUAGUUGUACUUUCCGUGAGAGGGGUAGGAGAAGAGGUGAGACCCAGAUGUCAUCGCGUAAUGGGGAAAGCCCCUGAGCGUGGCGACAAGCGUGUGGUCUGUUGAUCAGGUCGGGCAGCCGUAAGAGCUCGGGUAAGAAAGAAAGAAGGUAGUAGGUAUGCAAAGAACCUCUGAGGUUUUAUUUAUUCAAUGUAAAAUGUAAAGAGAGUACAUAGCUUUAAUGUCCUCAGGGUAGAAGCGUUGCAGGUGUUGGAUGUUCCAUGGGUUGGGGACGCUUGAGCCGCCUGCCCACUGUAACCGAUAUGUGUCGGGCUGGAUAACCUCUUUGACGAUGAAGGGGUCCUCCCAGGGGGCCGAUAGCUUGUGCAUGUCUUUGGUGAAUUGGAUCCGGCGGAGCAUGAGGUCGCCAAUGUUGAAUGAGAGUUCUUGGAUGUUCCUGUCAUGGUAGCAUCGGAUCUGCUGCUCAUGCCGCGCAUGAUGGAUGAGGGCCGCCACGUGAUGCUCUUCCUGGUUGUAGAUGUCGACUUGCCGACUCUUUUCUGCUUCACCCUCCUCAUAGUAUUGGAUCCACGGGGCGCCGAAUGCCAUAUCUGUCGGCAACACGGCCUCGGAGUCGUAUACCAGGAAGAAGGGAGUAUAGCCGGUAGCCUGACUUUUUUGGGUUUAGAGGCCCCAAAUGACAUGGGGUAACUCGUGGAGCCAUGUGGUAGCAUAUUUGGAUACGUUGUCGAAGAUGCGAGACUUGAGGGACUAGAAGACCAUCCCAUUCGCAUGUUCCAAUUUGCCAUUGCUGCAUGGGUGAGCUACUGAAGAGUAGUACACAUUGAUUAGAUUGUCUUGGAAAAAAUCCCAGAAUUCGGAUCUUGUGAAUUGCUUGCCGAGGUCGGUGAUGAUCCUAUUGGGGACCCCAAAGCAAUUUGUGAGUUCUUCAAUAAAUUGGGAGCUUUGGCCAACUCUGUGCUGGUGACAACCUUAACCGAGAUCCACUUGGUGAAUUUGUCAACUGCCACAAAGAUGUGGGUGUAUCCGCCCGGAGCAGUCUUGAAUGGGCCAACCAUAUCCAGCCCCUAGCAUGCGAAGGGCCAUGAUGGUGCGUAGAGCUUGGGCUGGGAGGUACUGCUGCUUGUAGAAGAACUAGCAUCCUUUGCACCUUUGGACGAGCUCUUAUGCAUCGGCGAUAGCGGUUGGCCAGUAAAAGCGUGAGUGGAACGCUUUCCUGACUAGACUACCCGAGGCGGCAUGGUUCCCGCACAAACCUGAGUGAAUUUCAUGGAGGAGUUCGAGGCCUUCAUAUCAGAGGAUGCACUUCAUUAGGAUGCCUGUGGAUGCAGCCUUCAUAUAUGAUUCCCUGCUGAUCACAACGUAGUUGGUGCUGAGUUGUGCGAGUUUUUUCAUGCUCGGCUUUGUCCUUUAGGGGACAUGUUGUUGGUAAUAAAUAUAAUGAAGGGUGCUCGCCAGUCUUCCUCCGCCUCGAUCAUCAGGUCAUCAGCGGACACUGGAUCGGCCAGAGGCUGGGCGUUGCUGUCAGCCUGGUCUGGGUCAAGGAUCUUGAUGGAGGGUUUUCUGAGGUCCUGGACAAACACGCCGACCGGAACUUGGGCACGAUUCAAGCCAAGCUUGGAUAGGACAUCGGCGGUGACGUUGUCUUCCCUGGUGGCAUGAUGGAAUUCAAGGCCGUCCCUGGGGACAUGAUGGAAUUCAAGGCCAUCGAAGUGAGCCUCAAGUUUGCGGACCUCAGCACAGUAGGCAUCCAUGGUGUGCUUGGUGCAUUCCCAGGACUUGUUGACCUUCUCGAUGACAACCUUGGAGUCACCAUAUGUGAGGAUACGCUUGAUGCUGAGAGAGGCGGUGAUGCGGAGCCUGUGUAUGAGGGCCUUGUACUCAGCGCCAUUGUUGAUAGCCUUGUGGUGGAUCUGGAGGAUGUACUUGAGCUGCUCGCCUAUCGGGGAUAUGAAGAGGAUCCCAGCACCAGCUCCUUCAAGGUUGAGGGCACCGUCAAAGUACAUCGUCCAGUGCUCCGGCCUCUCCAAGAAGGACGACUCUUGAAUCUCAGUCCAUUCAGCGAUGAAGUCAGCUUGGAUCUGGGACUUGAUCGCAUGACGUGGGCAGAAGUCGAUGUCAAAUUCCUCGAGAUCCACGGACCAUUUGACGACUCGGCCGUGGACAUCCCUGUUGUGUAGGAUUUCACCAAUUGGGUAGGAGGAAACCACUCGAAUCUUGUGCGCUUGGAAGUAGUGGCAUAGUUUACGGGAGGUGAUCAGGAUUUCUGCACCUGCGCGUAAUGGACCUUAGAUUCACUUAGGACCUCGCUGAUGUAAUAUACUAGCCUCUGCACCAUGUGGGCGUGGCCAGGUUCUUCAUGUUCUACAACUAGCACCGUACUCACGACGUGUGUUGUCGCUAAAAUGUACAGCUGCAGCGUUUCUUGGUCGGCCGGGGCCAUCAAGACGGGAGGGGUGGAGAGGAAUGUUUUGAGUUCCUCGAGAGUCUUGCGAGCCUUGUCAUCCCACUCGAACUUGUCCGCCUUCUUGAGCAGCUUGAUGAAGGGAAGUCCCUUUUCGCCAAGCUUGCUGAUGAAACGGCUGAGGGCCGCCAUCAUGCUUGUGAGCUUGACGACGUCCUUCUUGCCGGUGGGCUGCACCAUGUUCCUGAUGGAGUCUACUUUGAUAGGGUUUGUUUCGAUGCCGUGUUGGCUGACCAUGAAGCCCAAGAGCUUUCCAGACGGAACACUGAAGACGCAUUUGCCAAGGUUGAGUUUCCAUCGAUAGACCUGGAGGCUGUCGAAGGUUUGGGCAAGAUCAGCAAUGAAGUUUUCUUUGUCCUUGUCCUUGACGACCACAUUGUCGACGUAGGCCUCUACAUUUUUGCCAAGUUGUUUCUUGAGGCAACCCUGGAUUGCCUUCUGGUAGGUGGCGCCGGUGUUUUUUAACCCAAAGGUCAUGGUGUUGUAGUAGUAGAUUCCACAAGGCGUUAUGAACCUAGUCCUAUCUUGGUCAACGGGGUUGAGCGCGAUGUGGUGAUAGCUCGAGUAGCAAUCAAGGAAGCAUAGGAGGGUGCAGCCGGCCGUGGAGUCCACAACUUGGUCAAUGCGAGUGUUGACGCGAGAUUUUGACACGAGUAAAAUCAGCGUCAUGAGAGGAAGAAAUUGGUAGAUACUGCGAGAUAUAGGGGCGACAAUUGUAAAUCGACCGAAUGGUGCUAUAGUCAAGGAUCGGCCGAAUGGUGCUACAGUCGAGGGUCGGCCGAUUGACCUUUAGAAUUCCGCCUCGCUUGACCCCUGGGGUUUGGGAUCGGACGCGCCUGGUUCCCGAUCGGUUACCCCUUGCCGAUGAGGAAAUCGGCUAAUUAGGAGGUUGGGAUAGUUGGGCCGGUAUGGGCUUAGAAAGGAUUAUAAGGAUGAAAAGGGAAUCAGCCCAUGAAGCGCAUAAUAAUCUACCUAGUACGAAUCGUACUUGUAAAUAUUCGUUUUCUAUUUGAAUUAGGGAUAGAGUUCUAGUCAGAUAAGGAGUCGUCUGUACGGGGCUAUAAAUAGCCACCUUUGUAGAUCUGUAAUCAUCAACAACUCAAUACAACAAAUUACUAUUUCCUCGUACUUACUUUCUAGCAGGCGACUUCGCCAAAUAGUUUCUUCUUUUUCACGAGUCCGUACGGGUUGGCGGGGCUGCAUCAACUUGACCUCCGGCCGAUCUUGUAAGUUCCGUUUACCGAGUAAAUUCUAAGCUUUAACUUCGGGCGCAUCGCUGUCGUUUCAUUUAGAUUUAUUCACUAGUUAUCGAUAUUUACUAGAAUUGUAGGUUUUACAUGUUUUUCUAGUUUUAUCACCAGUUAUCUAGCUAGGAAUCGGCAGUUUCGGCUUUUCUCAUAUCUUGCUGUUUAAUUUACUUAUUUUACGCAUAGCCGAUUAGAUCUGUUCCUAGUACUGCUACUGUAGCGUUGUACUAAUUACUCCAAUAGUUCUCAUUCACGCUGCCUGGUAAUCGGCUGCUUCAUAACCGAUUUCUUUAUUACGGCAAAUUAGCCGAUUCGCUGAUAAGCUCUCUCGAGAUCGGAAAUUUAGCCGAUCGCGACUUCUGGAUCUGACAUGUAUUCUUCCUUGCCAAUCAACAGGUCAGAUUGGCUGGCACGCCACGCGAACCGCACCAGGGCAAUCACCCGAACAGGAGUUAAGCAGAUUCUCUCGGGUCGUGUGUUAAGACCCUGGGGAUUCGGCCGGCCGAUUUCUAGCGCCAACACACUUUUGGCACGCCCGGUGGGACAAAUACAACCGCCACCAUGUCAAAAGCUGCUGAAGUCUCCGAAGAUAACAUCAUCGAAGUGACAGAGGCAGAUCUCAGGGACGACCAGAAGGAAGAACUAGAGAAGCAGACAGCACACUACCGGAAGGCUUGCCUGCAGUCCUUCAGUCGCACCAGAAGCGGGGAGACUAUCAAAAAGUCUCUGUUUUCAACUCCCCGCCAGAUCACAAUCACCGAGGACUCGGACAAGAUGGCCGAGAUGGUCCAUCAGUCCGUUUAUCAAGCCUUCAUUGAUCAAUCCCCAGUGCUUGCAAAUACGAUGUACAAUGCCGUCAUCAGCUCCUUGGCUAGCGGGGUAUCUCAAGGGUACAAGGGACCGGCAUAUGCUCCGCCGAUUCCACCAAACAAGGGUUAUCUGAAUUCGGCUUCUCAGCCGAUCCAAUUUCCAGCUAGGGGUUCAGGUGCUUCCUCAUCAUCAAUUCCUAUGGGGUAUAACGGCACACAAAACCUCCAGCCACACCCCGUUCAACUGUCCUCUGCGCCGUUCCCUCCGGUUAACCCACCGCAUUGGGGGGCACCAUCAGCUACGGCCGUUCAGGAUCAAUCGGCCAGUCAGGGAAGUCCCCAAUUCCAGCCGUCUUUCCAGGCAACCACUCGACCAACUAUGCUGCCGUUCCAGCCCGUCGCACCAGAGAUGAGCAAAGCAGCAGAGCUCGUACUAUACGAUGAAACGAGUGGCUCAUUCAAACAGCCGACCCUGAAUACACAGCCGGCUAUAACGCAUCAGAUGCCACAUACUUUCACUCAGCAUCAAGCCAUCCCGCCUCCGAUAUACCAGCACGUGGCAGUCCCUCAGCCAACAGUUUACCAGCAACAGCCGGACUGGUCGGCACGUAUAGCAGAAGUGAUUCAGGAACAAUUCGGCUUGAAGCCGAAGGUACAAACUUACACUUACAGGACACCGUACCCAUCUACAUACGACCUACUGCCGUUUCCCCAUCGGUAUAAAGUUCCUGACUUCACCAAGUUCUCGGGGAUGGAUGACACUUCAACCGUAGAACAUGUGAAUAGAUUCAUCAUCCAAUGCGGAGAGGCAGCGACGCAAGAUGCUCUACGGGUGCGGCUAUUCUUGUCGUCCUUGUCUGGGUCGGCCUUCCAGUGGUUCACGACAUUACCGCCCAACUCGAUUAUUACAUGGGCCAAUUUGGAGAGGCAGUUUCAUAAAUACUUCUACGCCGGGGUACAUGAGAUGAAGUUGUCCGAUUUGACCAGCCUCAAGCAAAGAAGCGACGAGCCGAUAUCCUCAUAUGUACAGAGGUUUCGGGAAAUCAGGAACAAAUGCUAUUCUUUGGCUCUAAACGACGCACAGUUGGCUGAUAUAGCCUUUCAAGGCCUCCUGCCCCACAUCAAAGAAAAAUACGCCUCACAGGAGUUUGAGAGCUUAAGCCAAAUUGUCCACCGAUUGUCUGGACAGGAGGUACGUUCUUUCGAUCCACGGAGGAACUUCCAGAAGAAGGUGGCAUACUUCGAAGAGGUUGAAGCCGAAGAAGAUGCAGAGGUCGGUCUUGCGGAAUGGGUUAAUGGAAAGAAACUGAUAUCAUGCCCGUUCGGCAAGAAGGAGCCAGAAAUGUUCGGCUUUGACACGUCGAAGGCCGAUAAAAUCUUCGACCUCCUACACCAGGAAGGACAGAUUAAGCUCUCACCAUACCAUACGAUACCUUCUGCCGAACAGCUGAAGAAGAUGAAAUAUUGCAAAUGGCAUAACGCUACCUCCCAUGACACUAACGAGUGCAAAAUCUUCCGGCAACAGAUACAAACGGCUAUUGAGCAGGGCAGACUUAAAUUUGAAGUGCCAACAAAACCAGCCAAGCCGAUGAAGAUCGAUCAGCACCCCUUCCCCACCAACAUGGUUGACACAGGAAAGAAUCCGCUCCAAACGAAGGUGCUAACGUCUGAAUCAGCUAAAAAGAGUGGUGCUGUAGAUCCCAAAAAUCAAGCGGCGCCUGAAGACAUCAAGGGGAAGCGGCGGAUGGAAGACGACGAUGGCGGAUCAGGUGAGCCACGCAACACUUCCCAAUUCCUGCUCCACAAAUAUCAGCGGCAACAUGAGCGCUCAAGAUCCCGGGAAGAAGCGAUGCGGCGACAUGAAGAUCACUGGAGAUGUCCGUUCUUCAUCCACUGUUGGGAAAGCAACCUCAGGUUACCGUCGGCCGAUAAUUGCCCAGAGUGCAACGGCCCAUAUCGUAACAAUCGGCCGUUCAACAGGUCUCGCUCCAGAGACGGGAGACCAGAGCCGAUCAACAGGAACUGGCGCGACCAAGACGACCGGCGCCCUCCCGUGCGUGAUCGGCUGGGGGGCAGAAGUGACCGAUAUGACCGGUCGGAAGAUAGAUGCCAUGAUAGGCCGGGGGGCAGGUUUGAUCGACACGACCGGCCAGAAAACAGGGCCUGCGUCCACAGUCGGCUUGAAGAGAUGGCCGAUGCUCGAGUGACAGACGAAAACCCUUUAGGACGCGAACCGGAAUGGGAACGCGCCAGGCCACGAACCAAACCAGUGAACCCCAGGUAGUGUCCCGACGGAUUGACCAAAUCUCAAAAACCAAGGAUCCAACGUCUCCGCCAGUGAGAACAGCAGGAGGAAGAACAACAGUACACGACGAACAAGAGGGAAGGCAGGUCUCAGGUAUGGCGCCCCAAAAGAAACGACAGAGGAGGCGACGAAUCGGCGGGCGAUGAAUCGGCAGCCGACAUCGGCAUGGUUUUCAUACUGCCGAUGGAAUUUAUGACUCCUGCCGACUGACAGGAUAUAUCGGCGAUAGAAGAACAGAUGGCACAAUUGGCUUUGGAGCCAAUGACAGCUACAUUCGAGAAGCCCGAAGACGACAAACGGCAACACCUGAAAGCGUUGUUCCUUAAAGGGCAUGUCAACGGUCGCCCCCUCACCAGAUUAAUGGUAGACGGAGGAGCUGCAGUCAACAUCAUGCCAUAUGCCGUGCUCCGGAAGCAUGGGAAAAGCGAUGAUGAUUUGACCAAGACAGACAUGAUGCUCAAGGACUUCGAGGGCAACGUAUCCCCCGCUCGCGGCGCCCUCUGCGUCAACCUCACCAUCGGCAGUAAGACCCUUCCCACUACCUUCUUUAUUAUUAAUGGCAAGAGAUCCUACAACAUGCUACUCGGCCGAGACUGGAUACACGCAAAUUGCUGCAUCCCAUCGACAAUGCAUCAAUGUCUCGUACAAUGGGUCGGCGACAACAUCGAGGUGGUCAACGCCGACUCCGCAUACAGCAUCGCGGCAGCCGACACGCAGCAGUGGAGCUGCGAAACUGUCAAGUGCAUAUCCGGUAGAGUAUGGGAUACUGACUUCUUGAAGGUGUCCGAUUUUGGCCUACAGCCGAUCCGAGCACUCGGCUCCGAAGACUCAGAUUAAAUGGAUCAGUUCGCUCGAGAAGAUGGGAAGCUAGGGCACGGGUUCACGUCGGCCGAUUCAUUAGAGAUGAUAGACUUAGGCGAUGGCACCAAACCAAGGCCGACUUAUAUUAGUGCAAAUUUAGACCCAAAAUACAAAUGUAAACUGACAAGUUUGUUAAGAGAAUUUAAGGAUUGUUUUGCUUGGGAGUAUCAUGACAUGCCCAGAUUAGAUCGAUCUAUUGUUGAACAUCGGCUACCCAUAAAACUAGGAUAUCGGCCGUAUCAACAGCCUGCACGGCGGUGCAAUCCUAAAAUUCUACCAGACAUAAAAGCCGAAAUAACUCGGCUAAUUGAAGCAAAAUUUAUUCGGCAAUGCCGUUAUGCCGAGUGGAUCUCCAACAUUGUACCAGUAUACAAGAAGAACGGAAAGCUACGCGUGUGCGUUGAUUUUAGGAAUCUUAAUCAGGCCACACCGAUGGACGGAUACCCCAUGCCAACGGCCGAUGUGCUGAUAGACGCUGCCGCGGGACACAAGAUUAUUAGCUUCAUGGACGGAAACGCUGGGUACAAUCAAAUACUUAUGGCCGAAGAAGACAUACCCAAAACGGCCUUCAGAUGCCCAGGCCACCUUGGUUUAUUCGAGUGGGUGGUAAUGACUUUUGGCUUAAAAAACGCCGGCGCCACGUAUCAGAGAGCCAUGAACUACAUAUUUCACAAACUCAUCGGUGCUGGAAUGCACUAAGAAACAUGGGCUGAAGAUGAACCCGAAUAAAUGUACCUUCGGCGUGUCCGCCGGACAGUUCUUAGGAUUCAUGGUGCAUGAGCAGGGAAUAGAGGUCAAUCGGAAGACCAUAGCGGCUAUCAACAAAGUCGUGGCCCCGCAGAAUAAAACUGAAUUGCAGUCUUUAAUCGGCAAGGUGAAUUUCAUUAGAAGAUUCAUAUCUAAUCUGUCUGGGCGAAUCCAAGCCUUCACACCAUUAUUAAAGUUGAAGCCCGACCAAGAGUUUAUAUGGGGGGAAGAACAACGCAAGGCACUGGAAGAUAUCAAGCAGUACUUGGUCUCACCACCAGUAUUGGUCCCUCCUCAAACUGGUAAGCUAUUUAAAUUAUAUUUAUCAGCCGAUGAAAAGGCUAUUGGGUCGGCUCUAGUCCAGGAGUUCGAAGGAAAGGAACGAGUAAUUUAUUAUGUCAAUAGAAGACUUCUGGACGCCGAUACAAGGUAUCCUCCAGUGGAGCGGUUGUGCCUAUGCCUCUACUUCUCAUGCACCAAACUCAGGCACUAUUUGCUGUCGGCGGAAUGUGUGGUCGUAUGCAAAGAUGACGUAGUAAAAUACAUGCUGUCACUGCCGAUCUUGAAAGGACGAAUCGGCAAAUGGAUCUUAGCUUUGUCAGAGUUUGACCUACG
This 33750-nucleotide long non-coding RNA is filed under the name Setaria italica (foxtail millet). RNAcentral's name for it is "long non-coding RNA (SITA_LNC004650)". Lineage: Eukaryota; Viridiplantae; Streptophyta; Magnoliopsida; Poales; Poaceae. The record is from RNAcentral.